This 29-nucleotide non-coding RNA is filed under the name Mus musculus (house mouse). Lineage: Eukaryota; Metazoa; Chordata; Mammalia; Rodentia; Muridae. The record is from RNAcentral.
UACCUUCUCUUUCAACUGUGUGCCAUUGG